This 253-nucleotide ribosomal RNA is filed under the name uncultured bacterium. RNAcentral describes it as "partial 16S ribosomal RNA". It matches the Rfam family "Bacterial small subunit ribosomal RNA", at positions 524 to 776 of the family's 1533-position model. The record is from RNAcentral.
UACGUAGGUGGCAAGCGUUAUCCGGAAUUACUGGGCGUAAAGCGCACGCAGGCGGUCUCUUAAGUUUGACGUGAAAGCUCCCGGCUUAACUGGGAGAGGUCGUUGAAGACUGGGAGACUUGAGGCAAGGAGAGGGGUGUAGAAUUCCCGGUGUAGUGGUGGAAUGCGUAGAUAUCGGGGGGAAUACCAGUGGCGAAAGCGACACCCUAGCCUUAGCCUGACGCUGAGGCGCGAAAGCUAGGGGAGCAAACGGG